Molecule: ribosomal RNA, 500 nt
Filed under: uncultured bacterium
Lineage: Bacteria
Description: partial 16S ribosomal RNA
Rfam family: Bacterial small subunit ribosomal RNA
Source: RNAcentral
AUUGAACGCUGGCGGCAUGCCUUACACAUGCAAGUCGAACGGCAGCACGGGAGCAAUCCUGGUGGCGAGUGGCGAACGGGUGAGUAAAGUAUCGGAACGUGCCCAGACGUGGGGGAUAACGUAGCGAAAGUUACGCUAAUACCGCAUACGAUCUAUGGAUGAAAGCGGGGGAUAGCAAGACCCAGCGAGACUGGAGCGGCCGAUAUCAGAUUAGGUAGUUGGUGGGGUAAAGGCCCACCAAGCCGACGGUCUGUAGCUGGUCUGAGAGGACGACCAGCCACACUGGGACUGAGACACGGCCCAGACUCCUACGGGAGGCAGCAGUGGGGAAUUUUGGACAAUGGGCGAAAGCCUGAUCCAGCCAUGCCGCGUGCAGGAUGAAGGCCUUCGGGUUGUAAACUGCUUUUGUACGGAACGAAAAGGACUGCCCUAAUACGGUGGUCCCAUGACGGUACCGUAAGAAUAAGCACCGGCUAACUAUGUGCCAGCCGCCGCGGUAA